UCCGGUUGAUCCCGCCAGAGGUUACUGCUAUCGAGGUUCGACUAAGCCAUGCGAGUCGAAUGUAGCAAUACAUGGCGAACUGCUCAGUAACACGUGGACAACCUGCCCUUAGGACGGGGAUAAACCCGGGAAACUGGGUAUAAUACCCGAUAGGUCUCGAUUGCUGGAAUGCAUCGAGAUUUAAAGCUCCGGCGCCUAAGGAUGGGUCUGCGGCCUAUCAGGUAGUAGUGGGUGUAGCGUACCUACUAGCCUACGACGGGUACGGGUUGUGAGAGCAAGAGCCCGGAGAUGGAUUCUGAGACACGAAUCCAGGCCCUACGGGGUGCAGCAGGCGCGAAAACUUUACAAUGCUGGCAACAGCGAUAAGGGAACCUCGAGUGCCAGGUUACAAAUCUGGCUGUCGAGAUGCCUAAAAAGCAUUUCAUAGCAAGGGCCGGGCAAGACCGGUGCCAGCCGCCGCGGUAACACCGGCGGCUCGAGUGGUAACCGUUAUUAUUGGG
RNAcentral lists this ribosomal RNA (500 nucleotides) under uncultured methanogenic archaeon. Its description in RNAcentral is "bacterial SSU rRNA". It matches the Rfam family "Archaeal small subunit ribosomal RNA", at positions 1 to 508 of the family's 1478-position model. Lineage: Archaea; Methanobacteriati; Methanobacteriota. The record is from RNAcentral.